AUCAUACUCAAAAAAAAGAGUUUGAUCCUGGCUCAGAAUGAACGCUGGCGAUAUGCUUAACACAUGCAAGUCGAACGUUGUUUUCGAGUCGAAAUGAAAACAAAGUGGCGAACGGGUGCGUAACACGUAGGAAUCUGCCAAACAGUUUGGGCCAAAUCCUGAAUAAAUGAAAGCUAAAAAGCGCUGUUUGAUGAGCCCACGUAGUAUUAGGUAGUUGGUUAGGUAAAGGCUGACCAAGCCUACGAUGCUUAGCUGGUCUUUUCGGAUGAUCAGCCACACUGGGACUGAGACACGGCCCAGACUCCUACGGGAGGCAGCAGUGGGGAAUCUUGGACAAUGGGCGAAAGCCUGAUCCGGCAAUAUGGCGUGAGUGAAGAAGGGCAACGCAGCUUGUAAAGCUCUUUCAUCGAGUGUGCGAUUGUGACAAGACUCGAAUAAGAAGCCCCGGCUAACUCCGUGCCAGCAGCCGCGGUAAGACGGGGGGGGCUAGUGUUAUUCGGAAUGACUAGGCGUAAAGGGCACGUAGGCGGUGAAUCCGGUUGAAAGUGAAAGUCGCCAGCUCAACUGGCGGAAUGCUUUCAAAACCAAUUCACUUGAGUAAGAUAGAGGAUAGUGGAAUUUCGUGUGUAGAGAUAAAAUUCACAGAUAUACGAAGGAACACCAAAAGCGAAGGCAGCUUUCUGGGUCUCUACUGACGCUGAGGUGCGAAAGCAUGGGGAGCAAACAGGAUUAGAUAGAUCCGGCCGGGCUCCAAAUAAAACACGGUCAAAGGUGUCCCCUCCGAUCGCGAGGUCAGAGUGUGCAUCCAGCUAUUUCGGGGAAACUUUGAUGCAAAUGUACCAUUCAACAUCAGACAAUCCCGAGGGAAGUGCGUUGAUCUCGGAUCGAGAGCACCCCGUAGAGACUAUGGAGAUGGGGAAAUAGAAGAUAUAAAAAAAAUAGGCAAAGGCUCUUAAAGCUAGAGCAUCGGAGCUGAGAAAGCAAGGCUUUUUUCCUUAGGCAAAGCCCAAGCUCCUAACCUGCACUUGAAAAGACUUAAGCAAAUAUCUUUGUCGGAUUUAAUGAAAUCAAUUAUAUUAGGACAACUCCUGGGAGAUGGCAAGGUUCUCCGUUCGUCAUAGCCGAAUGAAGGCCGAAGGCCUUUUGGUGGUAGGCUCACUGCAUGAAAUCUCGGCACCAAGUUCCGUGCAGGAGCAAGCGGCCGAUGGCUUUAGCCAGAACAAGCAGCUACUGAUGACUUUGACAAAGAAUAUGUCAAGCUUUUAUUUAGCCCGAGACUUAGACAUUUUCUGGAAGGUUUACGGCCCCCCUAUCCGGAAAAAUUGCAAGUACGCUAAUUAAAGCCAAGGGCGCAGCACUACCACCGCCUUUGGUCCGGUAUUGAGGGCGCAGCAGAGACUGCUUCGAAUGAUCUUCCCACAUGUCUUGUGGCGAGCAUACUCGGGAAAGCCUUAUUAUUGGUUUACAAAGAUCCUGAAAUUCAACAACGCUGGAUCUCUGAAAUGAAGAAAGCUCUGCCUCUUUUUUCGAAGUGCAUUGAGGGUUAGCCAAUAAAAAAAGAGAGCAACUGCAAAGAUUGAAGUUCAGAGAAUGAUAUAGUCCAUUUUUGGAGAUAGUCAUCACUACGUGAUCGUGAUGGGAUUAUUUAUUUUCCAUCAUGACCUCGAGAAGCAACUAAGCCACUGAACAAGGGCUCACUGCUGGCGAAAAACUAUCUUCAAUAUGACCCUGGUAGUCUAUGCCGUAAACGAUGAGUGUUCGUCCUUGGUCUGCGCUGUAUGCAAAACGGCUGAUCAGGGGCCCAGCUAACGCGUUAAACACUCCGCCUGGGGAGUACGGCCGCAAGGCUGAAACUCAAAGGAAUUGACGGGGGCCUGCACAAGCGGUGGAGCAUGUGGUUUAAUUCGAUACAACGCGCAAAACCUUACCAGCCCUUGACAUAUGAAUAAGUUUGCCCGUCCUUAAUGGGAUGGUACGAAAAUUUAUACAGGUGCUGCAUGGCUGUCGUCAGCUCGUGUCGUGAGAUGUUGGGUUAAGUCCUAUAACGAGCGCAACCCUCGUUUUGUGUUGCUAAGACAUGCGUUUUGAAUUAAAGGGUCGAUCAUUGAGCACUUAAGACUGACGAAGACCACGCCAUUGGAAAAGGAUAUCACAACAACGCCGUGUGGCUACGACCACACAGUUGUCAAAGGAUACUUCGACGAGCACAGCUCUCAGAGCGUGGCACACAUAACAAACAAUGUGGCACUCAGUCUUCGCUCUGUAAAAAUAAUUGACAAUCCAUGCCAUGUACUGCACUCACAAGAAACUGCCAGUGAUAUACUGGAGGAAGGUGGGGAUGACGUCAAGUCCGCAUGGCCCUUAUGGGCUGGGCUACACACGUGCUACAAUGGCAAUCACAAUAGGAAGCAAGGCUUUAAGGCGGAGCGAAUCCAGAAAGAUGGCCUUAGUUCGGAUUGUCCUCUGCAACUCGAGAACAUGAAGUUGGAAUCGCUAGUAAUCGCGGAUCAGCAUGCCGCGGUGAAUAUGUACUCAGGCCCUGUACACACCGCCCGUCACACCAUGGGAAUUGGCUUCGCCCGAAGCAUCAGACCAAGGAUCACCCAUUACUCCAGUGUUCCACGCCGUUGUUGAGUGUGGUCUACCAGAGUAAUUGGUGGUCUAAUGUGGGAUACCAAGGUGGGGCCUUUGACUGAGGUGAAGUCGUAACAAGGUAGCCGUAGGGGAACCUGUGGCUGGAUUGACUCC
This 2748-nucleotide ribosomal RNA is filed under the name Tetraphis pellucida. Its description in RNAcentral is "bacterial SSU rRNA". It matches the Rfam family "Bacterial small subunit ribosomal RNA". The record is from RNAcentral. Lineage: Eukaryota; Viridiplantae; Streptophyta; Tetraphidopsida; Tetraphidales; Tetraphidaceae.